AAGAUUGCAGAUGAGGAAGACACACAGUCAGAGAAGAUAGAGAAAUGGUCAGCGCUGGUUGAGAUUUUCUUACAUUUUUUUAAGGACUUUGUGAAAUGAAACUUCAGACAAGUAUAAUUCUGAGCACUAGCUUCACAGAGCAACCAGGGUCACUUACCCGAUUUUACCAGGUAAAAACAAGAAACUGCAAUCCAGGAGUUUCAACACUUCAAGCAAAACUAGAUCCAAAGGCUUGAAGACUUGUACAUAACUAUAAUCCAAAGGCUUGGAAACUUGAACCAAGAAUUGUAAUCCAAUCAAGAGGCCUUGAUCUUAAACAAGAAAGCAAAAUCAUUACCAAAGACCAGAACUCUUAACUUUGUGCUUCCAAGACAGGCAACUUGAUCCAUGAAACAACAACAAAGCAAGUCUUGGGACGGUGGAUCCUUGCACAAGCAGCCUAAAGCGAACCUUGUAAGCAAGAACUGAUGAGAGACUCGACCCCUCAUCAAAUGAAAAGACCUUGUCUGCAAUUUGCAAGCACCGAAAGAGCAAGUAAUCAGAAAUCAAUGUAUCAAAAGACUUUGGGAGAAGCCUAUAAAUCAAAUCAGCUCUGCAUUUUCCAAUUCUACAAACAGAAUAAAAAAGGCCCCUUGCCAGAGGUCCUGUUAACAAAGGAA
Molecule: long non-coding RNA, 659 nt
Organism: Anolis carolinensis (green anole)
Lineage: Eukaryota; Metazoa; Chordata; Lepidosauria; Squamata; Anolidae
Exons: 3
Source: RefSeq, a predicted model, not a curated record